RNAcentral lists this ribosomal RNA (1015 nucleotides) under Marigold phyllody phytoplasma. Its description in RNAcentral is "bacterial SSU rRNA". It matches the Rfam family "Bacterial small subunit ribosomal RNA". Lineage: Bacteria; Bacillati; Mycoplasmatota; Mollicutes; Acholeplasmatales; Acholeplasmataceae. The record is from RNAcentral.
AAGAGUUUGAUCCUGGCUCAGGAUUAACGCUGGCGGCGCGCCUAAUACAUGCAAGUCGAACGGAAGUUUAAGCAAUUAAACUUUAGUGGCGAACGGGUGAGUAACGCGUAAGCAAUCUGCCCCUAAGACGAGGAUAACAGUUGGAAACGACUGCUAAGACUGGAUAGGAGACAAGAAGGCAUCUUCUUGUUUUUAAAAGACCUAGCAAUAGGUAUGCUUAGGGAGGAGCUUGCGUCACAUUAGUUAGUUGGUGGGGUAAAGGCCUACCAAGACUAUGAUGUGUAGCCGGGCUGAGAGGUUGAACGGCCACAUUGGGACUGAGACACGGCCCAAACUCCUACGGGAGGCAGCAGUAGGGAAUUUUCGGCAAUGGAGGAAACUCUGACCGAGCAACGCCGCGUGAACGAUGAAGUAUUUCGGUACGUAAAGUUCUUUUAUUAGGGAAGAAUAAAUGAUGGAAAAAUCAUUCUGACGGUACCUAAUGAAUAAGCCCCGGCUAACUAUGUGCCAGCAGGUGGUGCAUGGUUGUCGUCAGCUCGUGUCGUGAGAUGUUGGGUUAAGUCCCGCAACGAGCGCAACCCUUAUUGUUAGUUGCCAGCACGUAAUGGUGGGGACUUUAGCAAGACUGCCAGUGAUAAAUUGGAGGAAGGUGGGGACGACGUCAAAUCAUCAUGCCCCUUAUGACCUGGGCUACAAACGUGAUACAAUGGCUGUUACAAAGGGUAGCUGAAGCGCAAGUUUUUGGCGAAUCUCAAAAAAACAGUCUCAGUUCGGAUUGAAGUCUGCAACUCGACUUCAUGAAGUUGGAAUCGCUAGUAAUCGCGAAUCAGCAUGUCGCGGUGAAUACGUUCUCGGGGUUUGUACACACCGCCCGUCAAACCACGAAAGUUGGCAAUACCCAAAGCCGGCGGCCUAACUUCGCAAGAAGAGGGAACCGUCUAAGGUAGGGUCGAUGAUUGGGGUUAAGUCGUAACAAGGUAUCCCUACCGGAAGGUGGGGAUGGAUCACCUCCUUU